GCCAGACUCCUACGGGAGGCAGCAGUGAGGAAUAUUGGUCAAUGGGCGCGAGCCUGAACCAGCCAAGUCGCGUGAGGGAUGACGGUCCUACGGGUUGUAAACCUCUUUUGCCGGGGAGCAAGCGUGCGUUCGUGAACGCGCGUCGAGAGUACCCGGAGAAAAAGCAUCGGCUAACUCCGUGCCAGCAGCCGCGGUAAUACGGAGGAUGCGAGCGUUAUCCGGAUUUAUUGGGUUUAAAGGGAGCGUAGAUGGGUUGUUAAGUCAGUUGUGAAAGUUUGCGGCUCAACCGUAAAAUUGCAAUUGAUACUGGCAGUCUUGAGUACAGUUGAGGUAGGCGGAAUUCGUGGUGUAGCGGUGAAAUGCUUAGAUAUCACGAAGAACCCCGAUUGCGAAGGCAGCUUACUAAACUGUGACUGACAUUGAUGCUCGAAAGUGUGGGUAUCAAACAGGAUUAGAUACCCUUGUACA
This 468-nucleotide ribosomal RNA is filed under the name uncultured bacterium. Its description in RNAcentral is "bacterial SSU rRNA". It matches the Rfam family "Bacterial small subunit ribosomal RNA", at positions 330 to 794 of the family's 1533-position model. The record is from RNAcentral.